Molecule: long non-coding RNA, 3002 nt
Organism: Strongylocentrotus purpuratus (purple sea urchin)
Lineage: Eukaryota; Metazoa; Echinodermata; Echinoidea; Camarodonta; Strongylocentrotidae
Exons: 4
Source: RefSeq, a predicted model, not a curated record
ACGGGACCCAUUAAAUUAGAUUCUGGGGUUAUCGUAGUAACAACAGACCCAAUUUAUUUGCUACUAAUCUGUGGGCUACAGUAUAUGUUUAGAACUUAAAUUAAUGUGAUGUGGCAAACCUGGCAUGAUUUCAGAGAUGGGUUCUGUAUCUGUUGCUGUAGAAAUAUACCACUGUCACUAUAUAGUGACUAGUCUAGUGAGUAGUGAGUACACUGCAUCAACAUCUACCAAAGAUCACCAUCACAUUUACCUUUACUUUAGUUUCAAAUUCACUUUAGACCUGCAUAAUUUGGUCAAAUAUGUAAGUCUUUUCUUUGUAUCCUUAUUAUAAGUAUAAGUGGUUUUAGGUAUGACCAUAUUUUGUCAAAGUGCAGAUCUUCGGUAAUAAAGUCUACCGUACAUCUAUACUCGUACUCAUCGAAAGCUGUUUCACUUUCAGCAACUAAACAAGGAUAUUGUGGUGUGUUGUCUCUCAUAGUGGUCACGAUUAAUUAGAGCAGAGUGAAAGAAAUGACUUGAAACAAUAUAAUUCAACAGUCUGACUGGGUCUAAACUUUAGUGCACUAAAAUUAUUGUACAUGUAGAACCACAUGCCUUCACCAGGUCAGGUCUAGCACUUGGUAGGUUUGCCAGUGUUAGAGAUACGAUUAUCAAAUAUCAGGUUUUAUUUUCUUUAUAAACUAUUGCUAUUAUAAAUACCUUUAUUCAAACAUUAGAUGGAGUUUAUCCAGGAUAGCCUUGUCCCGUAGAACAGGAACAAAUCUACUAACUUGACUGAUAUCAAAAGGAGAAAGAAUUCGGUACCAAGGAGAGGCACUUAGGUGAAAAUGAAAUAGGGCAGCAGGUGGUGGCGGGGAAAAUGUUGGCAGUGUCGGAACCUGGACUUGUACACACCAUGGAUAUGGGAGACAUCCCAUUAGCUGAGCUUGUGAUUCAGAUACGUUCACGCCCAAUGACCGAUGAUACUAAGUUUGACUGCCCACAGACUGACAGCCUAAAAAUGCUCCUGACAGAGUUGAAAUGCCCAUCAGAGGUCCAGCAAGGAUGUAAUGUCCCAUACAUUGACCCCUUUUGAUUGAAGACCAGCCAACUUAAAGCUCACAGAUUGGUGUGAUUCAAUUGGCCCCAGUUCUACAAAAGGAUAGCCCACAGUUUGCUGACAGCCCACACACUGACUGCUAUUAGAACAAUGGUCCACAAAUAAUUGCUCAACAAGUUGAGAGCAAAGGGAUCCCAAACCCAUGGACAACAGGUCACUGGUUUUUAGUUCUCGGACCUGGUGAGGACAUCCCAAAGGCAGAAUGAAACAAACCCCAUGGAGUUGGAUACAGACUUUGAGGAUGAAGUACACAAAGUGGAAUCUGACACAGAAAACUUCCUGUUAGCUGCUGUUGGUCAGUAAUAGCACAGCAGAUGUUUCACCUGUUAUAUUGGAAUUUGUAUUCAUGUAAUUUGAAUCAUAAUCAUUCAAAUUAUAUACAUCUAUAUAUAUAUUACAUAAUUCUUUUAAUUUUUCCAAGGUUUACAAGUAAAAGAUAUGUUCAAAAUAACAUUGUUAUUUACACUUGGUUAUUCCAAAACAACUUAAUACAAUAACAAGUAAUCAUGCUACAACAUUGUAUAAUACAUGAUAAUUUAAAGAGGUUUCCUGGGUGGGGGCCAAUUGAAGAGCUAAAGGAAAGAAUCAUAGGAAGGAAGAUUGUGUAUUCUAAGAUUUGACUUAUCAUCUACUGAGGAAAUUACAUAGAAGUUGGAAGGCUUUAGAAUGAGGGCCACUACCUUUAUUAGUUGGACAUAUAUUUUGUUAGAUUUACAUUGUUUAAUGCUUUCAGUUUCAUACAGUAACUCUUCUCAUGUUGGUGGAUCUUUUCUGAUGGGGGCUGAAGUGUUCAUUUGUGAAAUGACUUUCAUUGACAAAUUUUAAAGGGAUUUAAAUGUAUUGUUGAAGAAUGCGUUGUUGACAUAAUAUGUAUAUAGUGGCCUUGCAAACUUCUAAUCAUCAAUUGUCUUUCAAGUGACUGAUCUACACCAAUAUUUCAUUGGGGAGCAAUAAACUCAUGUAAUUAAUAUUAACAAGUUGAUUUAAUUAGAUCUGAAAUACUCUGAAUGUAUAUUCUAUUCCCAUUUGAGCUUUCAGUGUUUGGCAUAUCAUCUGAAGAAUUUCUAAAAUAUAUAUGAUAUGUCUUUCUAAACUGAUCAGGAAGGGCACUGGAUAAUCACCUUCUCUGAUCCAGUUCAUUGUUGAUGCUGUUUCUUUAGUAAUGAGUAAUCUAGCUUAGUUAUAGAUAAAUUAAAUUGAGAGUAGAUUUCAUGUGAAAGUACGCUUUGCUUGUGUUAUCUGAAAAAGUUAUUUCCUGUUCUAAAAAUAGUAUUAUGCUGCAGAAUCCUUGUGCAUAUACUGCAAGAAAUUUAGUCAAUUAUGCAUGAAAAAUAUAUGAGCUGUCAUAUGGAGUAAGUAGAUAUUAGCUGCAUCUCAAAAUUACAAUAUUCAUAUUCAUUGCAACAUUUAAAUAAUAUGGAUAAUGUGUACUAUUUGUAUGCAUCAUUUCUAAGUCUUCAAGAAUCAUCUUUUCUGUGGCGUAUUUGUACUAAUUAAGAAACUUGUUGAAAUUUGCCAAUGUUUUCAACUUGUCCAUGAACCUCAUUUUGGCUUCAUAAUUCCAUCAAAUGUUAUAAUUGAGUAAAUAAAAUGUCUUUAUAUUAAUGCAAAUCCAUGGACAUUUUUGACACCCCCAGAUGUGCACACGUAUGCAUUUAGUAUAAAUUGUAAUAAAAAUUGAAAUACAUGUAAUAGGAUGAACAUAUUAUUGUACUGUGCAAAUAUAUUGUGCUUAAUUUUACGCCGAUUUGUAGAUUGUUAGCAUGCCUCUUGUAGUUUUGCUACAAUCGUGUUUUGUAACAACUAUGCAGCAUUUUCUAAUGGUUACAUUUAAUUGUUGUACAAACAAUUAAUCAUUUCUUUGCUCAAAAUGAGGAUUAAAUAUGUAUAUUAUCAAUUUAAA